GGUAAAGUGACAGAUAGGCUAUGUAGAAGUUUGCAAAACUUUGUAAGCUGGUUCAAUUCCAGCCUUUACCU
Molecule: transfer RNA, 71 nt
Filed under: Capsaspora owczarzaki
Lineage: Eukaryota; Filasterea; Ministeriida; Capsasporidae
Description: tRNA-Cys
Rfam family: tRNA
About the family: Transfer RNA (tRNA) molecules are approximately 80 nucleotides in length. Their secondary structure includes four short double-helical elements and three loops (D, anti-codon, and T loops). Further hydrogen bonds mediate the characteristic L-shaped molecular structure. tRNAs have two regions of fundamental functional importance: the anti-codon, which is responsible for specific mRNA codon recognition, and the 3' end, to which the tRNAs corresponding amino acid is attached (by aminoacyl-tRNA synthetases). tRNAs cope with the degeneracy of the genetic code in two manners: having more than one tRNA (with a specific anti-codon) for a particular amino acid; and 'wobble' base-pairing, i.e. permitting non-standard base-pairing at the 3rd anti-codon position.
Source: RNAcentral